UACGGGGGGAGCAAGCGUUGUUCGGAUUUACUGGGCGUAAAGGGCGCGUAGGCGGUCAGCACAAGUCAGUUGUGAAAUCUCCGGGCUUAACUCGGAAAGGUCAACUGAUACUGUGCGACUAGAGUGCAGAAGGGGCAAUUGGAAUUCUCGGUGUAGCGGUGAAAUGCGUAGAUAUCGAGAGGAACACCUGCGGCGAAGGCGGGUUGCUGGGCUGACACUGACGCUGAUGCGCGAAAGCCAGGGGAGCGAACGGG
This 254-nucleotide ribosomal RNA is filed under the name uncultured bacterium. RNAcentral's name for it is "partial 16S ribosomal RNA". It matches the Rfam family "Bacterial small subunit ribosomal RNA", at positions 524 to 776 of the family's 1533-position model. The record is from RNAcentral.